RNAcentral lists this ribosomal RNA (253 nucleotides) under uncultured bacterium. RNAcentral describes it as "partial 16S ribosomal RNA". It matches the Rfam family "Bacterial small subunit ribosomal RNA", at positions 524 to 776 of the family's 1533-position model. The record is from RNAcentral.
UACGUAGGGUGCAAGCGUUGUCCGGAAUUAUUGGGCGUAAAGAGCUCGUAGGCGGUCUGUCGCGUCGGCUGUGAAAUCCCGAGGCUCAACCUCGGGUCUGCAGUCGAUACGGGCAAACUAGAGUAUUGCAGGGGAGACUGGAAUUCCUGGUGUAGCGGUGAAAUGCGCAGAUAUCAGGAGGAACACCGGUGGCGAAGGCGGGUCUCUGGGCAGUAGCUGACGCUGAAGCGCGACAGCGUGGGGAGCAAACAGG